GGGAGGCUGUCCCUACUACGAGAGGACCGGGACGGACGAACCUCUGGUAUGUCAGUUGUACCGCCAGGUGCAUGGCUGAUUAGCUACGUUCGGGACGGAUAACCGCUGAAAGCAUCUAAGCGGGAAGCCGGCCCAAAGAUGAGUCAUCCCUGACCUUUAAGGUCUGGAAGGGUUGUUAUAGACGAUGACGUUGAUAGGCAGGGUGUGGAAGCGUUGUAAGGCGUUAAGCUAACCUGUACUAAUUGCCCGAGAGGCUUAACC
RNAcentral lists this ribosomal RNA (261 nucleotides) under Thalassiosira rotula. RNAcentral describes it as "partial Bacterial large subunit ribosomal RNA". It matches the Rfam family "Bacterial large subunit ribosomal RNA", at positions 2667 to 2925 of the family's 2925-position model. Lineage: Eukaryota; Bacillariophyta; Thalassiosirophyceae; Thalassiosirales; Thalassiosiraceae. The record is from RNAcentral.